UCCUUCGUGGUGUAGUGGUCAGCACGCUCGGCGCGUAUUCGAGAGGUCCGUGGUUCGAGUCCCAGCGAAAGCA
Stegodyphus mimosarum is the source of this 73-nucleotide non-coding RNA. NCBI's taxonomy places the organism in Eukaryota, Metazoa, Arthropoda, Arachnida, Araneae, Eresidae. The record is from Rfam.